Molecule: ribosomal RNA, 660 nt
Filed under: uncultured euryarchaeote
Lineage: Archaea; Methanobacteriati; Methanobacteriota
Description: bacterial SSU rRNA
Rfam family: Archaeal small subunit ribosomal RNA
Source: RNAcentral
UGUUUGGAUCAAAGCUCCGGCGGCGUACGGUGGCUCUGCGGCCUAUCAGGUUGUAGGGAGAGUAACGUCCUCCCUAGCCUUCGACGGGUACGGGUGUUGGGAGACAUCGCCCGGAGAUGAACUCUGAGACACGAGUUCAGGCCCUACGGGGCGCAGCAGGCGCGAAAACUGCACAAUGUGGGAAACCACGAUGCGGGAACCCCAAGUGUCUGCGCAAUGCGUAGACUGUCCCCAAGCGUUCAUUGCUUGGGAAGAAAGUGCUGGGUAAGACGGGUGCCAGCCGCCGCGGUAAUACCCGCAGCACGAGUGGUGGUCUUUAUUACUGGGCCUAAAGCGUCCGUAGCCGGUUAGGUAAAUGCCUGGGUAAAUCGAUGCGCUCAACGUAUCGAAUUCCGGGUAGACUGCCUGACUUGAGACCGGGAGAGGUGUGAGGUACUCCGGGGGUAGGGGUAAAAUCCUGUAAUCCUCGGGGGACCACCAGUGGCGAAGGCGUCACACUGGAACGGUUCUGACGGUGAGGGACGAAGCCCUGGGGCGCAAACCGGAUUAGAUACCCGGGUAGUCCAGGGUGUAAACGCUGCUGACUUGGUGUCGGGGGUCCUACGGGGGCUCUCGGUGCCGGAGAGAAGUUGUUAAGUCAGCCGCCUGGGGAGUACGGUC